Molecule: ribosomal RNA, 112 nt
Filed under: uncultured bacterium
Lineage: Bacteria
Description: partial 16S ribosomal RNA
Rfam family: Bacterial small subunit ribosomal RNA
Source: RNAcentral
CCCGGGUCUUGUACACACCGCCCGUCACACCACGAGAGUUGGCAAUACCCGAAGCCGGUGGCCUAACCCGCAAGGGAGGGAGCCGUCGAAGGUAGGGUCAGCGAUUGGGGUG